RNAcentral lists this long non-coding RNA (1561 nucleotides) under Canis lupus familiaris (dog). Its description in RNAcentral is "lncRNA (ENSCAFG00845024468.1)". Lineage: Eukaryota; Metazoa; Chordata; Mammalia; Carnivora; Canidae. The record is from RNAcentral.
GCUCACACCUCAUAAUCAGAGCUCCUGGCUCCCACCUGCUCCUUGCUCUCCGAACGCUCUCCACCCCACGGUGGUCACAGGAAGUGUUCCAGGAAAAUCCAUUUCCCUGUGACUUCAUGGCACGCUGGGGGCCAUGAAGUCCACCCUAGGGACCAGAAGGACAUGGAGGAGUGGCGGAUGGGCUGACCAGGCCACUGCUGGGAAGUGCUAGGUAAUGGGAGCCAUCCUGGAGUUUGAACCUACUCAGCUGAAGUGUGGUGGUCCUGGCUCAGCUCGGGCUCAGGAAAUGUUAAGAGGUAGAGCUGGGUGGCAUCCCCACUGGGACUUUCCUGUUGUCUUCUCUCUCAGCUACCCAUGAUGUUCCCUCCAUGACUCACGCCAAAGUGAAUGAGUUCAGGGAGAGAGGACUUCCAUGGCCAGAGGCAGAGGCCUCCCUGGACAGGCUGGGGAGGUACCAUGAUGCUUUCCAGCCCUUCCCGCCAGGAGACCCCUCAGGGAUGCAGUAAUUGCCCUCUGUGGACAUGCCCUCUGCUGGCCGUGCCUCCUCCUGCCCUCCCAGAUGGGGGCCCAGCCAUCCUGCGAGGUCCUGCUUUGUCCAUGCUGCAAGAACCAGGAGCGCCCAAAGACACCCAUGGUGCCAGUGCCACUGGGCCUGCUUGGAGACACAUACUAUGAGGAACAUGGAGAGAAGAUUUACUUCUUCUGUGAGACCGACACAUAGCUCCUCUGUGUGCUCUUUUGGGAGGGUCCUGACCACCAGGGCCACACCAAGGGGGUCCUGGACGCAGCCAUUCAGCCCUACUAGACUCAGAUUGACGGCAAGAAGCGGCAGGUAGCAGCAAUGUUCGAGAUGCUGCGGCAGGAGCUGGUGGAGCAGCAGGAUGUCCUGGUGGCCCAGCUUAGGGAGCUGGAGCUGCAGAUCUGGCAGGAGAGAGAGAUGAAUACAUCUCAGAGGUCUCUGAGGAGGUCACCAGGCUCAGAGCCAAGGCCAAGGAGCUGGAGAAGUGUCAGCAGCCGGCGAGUGCCCUGCUCCAGGUGAGACUGCCUACUGAGUCAUGGGCUUGGGGAGGGUUUGCACAGGAGGGGACACCCCUGAGGGCCAGAAGAUGCUGGGGAAAGGCAGGAGGGGGAAGCACAGGUUGUUUCUGGUGGGAAGAAAGUAGAGCAGUUGGGUUCCUUUGGCCCAGAGAGUUUACAGACACGCAGACCCAGGAAGGAUGGAUGGCCUGCUCACCCACUGUAUCCACGUCAAGGACUUUGGAGUCAGAGGGCCUCGGGUUUGAGUGUGGCUCUCCCAGCCGUGUGACCUUGGUGAGCCUCGUGACCCCUACCCAUGGGGGUAAUCAUAGCAUGUCCCUCACGGAGCCGUUGCAGAGAUGAUAAGAGGCAAUCAUGCCAGGUGCAUAGCGUGCUCCCUGGCUCACAGACAGAACUCUGUAAACAGCAUCUGUUGUGAUUCUCAUCAUCUUGUCGUGUUUCACAUCAGUCUGGCUGCUAACUCACCACCUCUCACACACCAGAGGCAGAACACAUUUCCAAGAGGAGGCUAAGACAGAGAAGC